UGGGGAAUAUUGCACAAUGGGCGCAAGCCUGAUGCAGCCAUGCCGCAUGUAUGAAGAAGGCCUUCGGGUUGUAAAGUACUUUCAGUCGGGAGGAAGGUGGUAAGGUUAAUAACCUUAUCAAUUGACGUUACCGACAGAAGAAGCACCGGCUAACUCCGUGCCAGCAGCCGCGGUAAUACGGAGGGUGCAAGCGUUAAUCGGAAUUACUGGGCGUAAAGCGCACGCAGGCGGUUGAUUGAGUCAGAUGUGAAAUCCCCGGGCUUAACCCGGGAAUUGCAUCUGAUACUGGUCAGCUAGAGUCUUGUAGAGGGGGGUAGAAUUCCAUGUGUAGCGGUGAAAUGCGUAGAGAUGUGGAGGAAUACCGGUGGCGAAGGCGGCCCCCUGGACAAAGACUGACGCUCAGGUGCGAAAGCGUGGGGAGCAAACAGG
RNAcentral lists this ribosomal RNA (429 nucleotides) under Chloroflexota bacterium. Its description in RNAcentral is "Chloroflexi bacterium partial 16S ribosomal RNA". It matches the Rfam family "Bacterial small subunit ribosomal RNA", at positions 355 to 776 of the family's 1533-position model. Lineage: Bacteria; Bacillati; Chloroflexota. The record is from RNAcentral.